RNAcentral lists this ribosomal RNA (468 nucleotides) under uncultured bacterium. RNAcentral describes it as "partial 16S ribosomal RNA". It matches the Rfam family "Bacterial small subunit ribosomal RNA", at positions 28 to 507 of the family's 1533-position model. The record is from RNAcentral.
GACGAACGCUGGCGGCGUGCUUAACACAUGCAAGUCGAACGGAAAGGCCCUGCUUUUGUGGGGUGCUCGAGUGGCGAACGGGUGAGUAACACGUGAGUAACCUGCCCUUGACUUUGGGAUAACUUCAGGAGACUGGGGCUAAUACCGGAUAGGAGCUCCUGCUGCAUGGUGGGGGUUGGAAAGUUUCGGCGGUUGGGGAUGGACUCGCGGCUUAUCAGCUUGUUGGUGGGGUAGUGGCUUACCAAGGCUUUGACGGGUAGCCGGCCUGAGAGGGUGACCGGCCACAUUGGGACUGAGAUACGGCCCAGACUCCUACGGGAGGCAGCAGUGGGGAAUAUUGCACAACGGGCGGAAGCCUGAUGCAGCAACGCCGCGUGCGGGAUGACGGCCUUCGGGUUGUAAACCGCUUUCGCCUGUGACGAAGCGUGAGUGACGGUAAUGGGUAAAGAAGCACCGGCUAACUACGUG